RNAcentral lists this ribosomal RNA (624 nucleotides) under uncultured bacterium. RNAcentral's name for it is "bacterial SSU rRNA". It matches the Rfam family "Bacterial small subunit ribosomal RNA", at positions 28 to 637 of the family's 1533-position model. The record is from RNAcentral.
AACGAACGCUGGCGGCGCGUCUUAAGCAUGCAAGUCGAACGGCAAGAUUGGUGCUUGCACCGAUCCUAGAGUGGCGGACUGGUGAGUAACGCGUGGGUGACAUACCCUCUGGAUGGGGAUAGCUGAUAGAAAUAUCAGGUAAUACCGAAUAAGAUUCUGCAGGUUAGAGAUGCAGAAAGAAAGGUGCGUCAGCACCGCCGGAGGAAUGGCCCGCGUACUAUUAGCUAGUUGGUGAGGUAAAGGCUCACCAAGGCGACGAUAGUUAUCCGGCCUAAGAGGGUGAACGGACACAUUGGGACUGAGAUACGGCCCAGACUCCUACGGGAGGCAGCAGCUAAGAAUAUUCCGCAAUGGAUGAAAGUCUGACGGAGCGACGCCGCGUGGAUGAAGAAGGCCGGAAGGUUGUAAAGUUCUUUUAAGCAUGAAGAAGGAUUAUUGCAGGAAAUGGCAGUAAAGUGACGGUAGUGCUUGAAUAAGAGGCGGCUAAUUACGUGCCAGCAGCCGCGGUAACACGUAAGCCUCGAGCGUUGUUCGGAAUUAUUGGGCGUAAAGGGCAUGUAGGCGGAAUUGCAAGCUUGAUGUGAAAGGCAGGGGCUUAACUCCUGGAUUGCGUUGAGAACUGCA